UACGUAGGGGCCUAGCGUUGUCCGGAAUUAUUGGGCGUAAAGAGCUCGUAGGCGGUUCGGCAAGUCGGAUGUGAAAUCUCCACGCUUAACGUGGAGGGGCCAUUCGAAACUGCUGUGACUCGAGUCCGGUAGGGGAGUGUGGAAUUCCCGGUGUAGCGGUGAAAUGCGCAGAUAUCGGGAGGAACACCAGUAGCGAAGGCGGCACUCUGGGCCGGAACUGACGCUGAUGCACGAAAGCUAGGGGAGCAAACAGG
RNAcentral lists this ribosomal RNA (254 nucleotides) under uncultured bacterium. Its description in RNAcentral is "partial 16S ribosomal RNA". It matches the Rfam family "Bacterial small subunit ribosomal RNA", at positions 524 to 776 of the family's 1533-position model. The record is from RNAcentral.